RNAcentral lists this unclassified non-coding RNA (222 nucleotides) under Chaetosphaeria sp. Its description in RNAcentral is "partial internal transcribed spacer region". The stretch from base 1 to 46 matches the Rfam family "Eukaryotic small subunit ribosomal RNA", at positions 1786 to 1831 of the family's 1831-position model. The record is from RNAcentral. Lineage: Eukaryota; Fungi; Ascomycota; Sordariomycetes; Chaetosphaeriales; Chaetosphaeriaceae.
AAGUCGUAACAAGGUCUCCGUUGGUGAACCAGCGGAGGGAUCAUUACAGUGAGCUUGUCUCCCUGAAACCCCUGUGAACCUACCGAAACGUUGCCUCGGCGGGUGCUCGGCCUAGCGCCGGGCGCUCUCCCGCCGGUGGCCCCCUACUCUGUAUCUGCAGCGUGGCAUCUCUGAGUAUACCAAAACAAGUCAAAACUUUCAACAACGGAUCUCUUGGCUCUA